CAGUAAUCUAAUUUGUAAUGAAUAACUGAAAAAGAAAACAACUAAACAUUUACUUUGUGCUUGUUGUGGGCCUAUUCCAGAGCAUAGGCCUGGAGCUGUCGCUCAAACAGCCCCUUUGACAAUAUGACCGUAGAGCAGACUCAUUCUGCCCACCUGCUUAGAUGACUAAACUUCCCUAUAUGAUGUCAGUGGUGUGGGGUGGAACAGAAAUUGUAGGUUUCAAGGACACCUUUGCAGUGCCAGAACCACUACAACAAGCAGUGUUGGUUAUGGUGCUUGGAUUGUCU
Molecule: non-coding RNA, 287 nt
Organism: Pelobates cultripes (western spadefoot toad)
Lineage: Eukaryota; Metazoa; Chordata; Amphibia; Anura; Pelobatidae
Source: the annotation of a GenBank genome assembly